AGAAGCAUCUCAAGAUUGUAGCCAUUGGUGUUUGCCAGGUCUUCCAGAUACAUGGAAUCAACUGCUUUAUGCAUCUCUAUUAGUGAAUGCCAAAGGUUCCUGAAAAGAUUAAUCUUGCAUUAUUAUCCUCUUGACUGAAACUUUUGCCAUCGAAACAAAAGAAGACCAGAUAUAUUUUACAAAAUUUCGAAUGUUCUUAACUAGCAAAAUAGUUUGUAUUUUGUUAAUAUAAAGUAGUAGUUGAUUUGUUGCAUUGAUAACAUUGUUAUAUCACCUGUUAAAUCGUAGUCAAAAUUUAAUUAAAAUCAGUAGCGAGACUGUCUUUCACUGAUACUUUUCUGAUUCACGCCAGGUCCGGCCAGAUUCACCAAUGAUGGUAAGUUUCCCCGUACCCGAUAGGCCGAUACCUGCCCUGUACCCGGAUGGUCGGGUACGAGGACGAAAAUGAUUUUUCUAUCCGAAGUAGGAAAAUCCCCGUUCCUGGCCGAAAUUCUCGGCCAUUUCCAGGUAUAGGGAUGGGGAUUGAAAUCCCCACCCUGAAUAAUACUCGCACACCUAAGGUAAAUUAUAUUUAUACCUUAUAUAAUAUUUUAUAUAGUAUAAUUUAUAUAAAUAACUCUAUAUAAUAUAUUAAAUACAUAAGUUUAUAUUUAAAAUGUACUCAUAAAAAAUUUAUAUUCAACCUCGUACAUUUUAAUAUUUCAUUUAUAUUUAAGUGUCAAAUCCCCAAAGAUCAAAUCCCUAAAUCUAUUUCUUCCCUAAAUCUCAAAACCCUAAAUCACUCCCUAACUAAAUCGAUUCUCCCUUUAUUUCUAUUUCUUCCAUUGGUGAAUUCAACUCAUUCAAAGUAAGGAUCGAUUCAAAAGGUAAAUAUUUAUUUUUAUUUCUAUUUCUAAGAAUGAAUUAGAAUCUCUUGCUUUUUUAUAUCUUGAGUUGUUGUUUUCUCAUUUCCGUUCUGUCAUUUUCUUUCUGUCGCAAGAAAACUAUUUUAGAUUUAACAAAUAAAACAUACCGUCAACUUCAUGUCGCCAUCCCAGUGUUGGUUUAAUAUUGAAACGAUUAGGAGGUGGAUCCUGUUAAAAUUCAAAAUUUUGGCCGGGUAUCCCUGUCUCUGUAUCCAAUCAUUGGCCGGGUACGGGGAAGAUUUUUGGGUCCGAGUAUUUCCCCGUACCCGCUCACCCCUAGACAGAUAGCUGGGCCGAUCAGGUUUGUCAGACCAGGUCCUUUUCCUCCUAGGGCUUAAGAAGUUUGAGCUUCCCCAUCUAUAUUACAAAAAAAACUGACUUUUUUGGAGGCUCUUUUUUGAGACUUGACCUGACGUGAAACAGGAAAUAUAGUGUCAGAUAGCUGGGCCGGUUAGGUUUGCCGGAUCAGGUCCUUUUCCUCCUAGGCCUUAAGACGUUUGAGGUCCCCCGUCUAUAUUACAAAAAAAUUGACUUUUUUGGAGGCUCUUUUUUGAGACUUGACCUGGCGUAAAACAGGAAAUAUAGUGAUAGAUAGCUGGGUCCAGUGGCGUAUCCAGGAUUCCCCGGCAGGGGGGGCAAGAUUCGCCGAAGGCGAAAAAUUUUUUUUGCCGAAGAUCUCUCCUAUAUAUAUGUCAAGAUAUUAAAAUAGUGUAGUAGAACUUAAAAUUAAUUCAAGCUCACCGAAUAAAGCUCCAACAAUUUUAGUCUCGUUCAUCCGUAGUGUGUUUAACAAAUCGAAUCAAGUAAAGCUAAGCUCGGACUCAGCUCGCCAAGUGAGAAUAAGAUUUAGCUCGAAUCCUAUUUUGCAAAACUAAAGAUCGAAGCUUGAUAAACUAACUUGCAAUAUAACAUCAAAAAUCAAUAUUAAACAAUAAUUUUAGAAUACCAAAGAUCAGUGGCGUAUCCAGUUUUUGAAGGACCCAUCAACUGUUUGGGGGUAUGUUAUUGAUCUUGGACUCCUUGUGUACUAGAAACAACUUAUAUAGAAAGCAACGGAGGGAGAAAUCGUGAGGUGGAUGGGUCAUGCGAGUUGGGAGGAGGAGAGAUUGGGGAAGAAAUUGAAGGAGGAGGAGGAGAAAUCGAUAGUUUUGGGGAAGAAGAUUG
RNAcentral lists this long non-coding RNA (2069 nucleotides) under Zostera marina. RNAcentral's name for it is "long non-coding RNA (ZMAR_LNC005801)". The record is from RNAcentral. Lineage: Eukaryota; Viridiplantae; Streptophyta; Magnoliopsida; Alismatales; Zosteraceae.